Molecule: RNase P RNA, 148 nt
Filed under: Geminicoccus sp.
Lineage: Bacteria; Pseudomonadati; Pseudomonadota; Alphaproteobacteria; Geminicoccales; Geminicoccaceae
Description: partial RNase P RNA component class A
Rfam family: Bacterial RNase P class A
About the family: Ribonuclease P (RNase P) is a ubiquitous endoribonuclease, found in archaea, bacteria and eukarya as well as chloroplasts and mitochondria.
Source: RNAcentral
GCAGAGGGCUGGAUGGUCGCGCUGGCCCGCUUAGGGUUGGUGAGGAAAGUCCGGGCUCCACGGAAACAGGGUGCCGGGUAACGCCCGGCGAGCGGAAGCUCAGGGAAAGUGCCACAGAAAGCAAACCGCCAACGACUUCGGUCAAGGU